Molecule: long non-coding RNA, 1250 nt
Organism: Sceloporus undulatus (fence lizard)
Lineage: Eukaryota; Metazoa; Chordata; Lepidosauria; Squamata; Phrynosomatidae
Exons: 3
Source: RefSeq, a predicted model, not a curated record
AUAAGGGGGAAAUCAGCGCAUUUGAGAUGUGGUGCUGGAGAAGAGUGUUGAUGAUACCAUGGAUGUCCAAAAAGACAAACAAAUGAGUUCUUUAAUAGAUGGAGGAGAUUAUCACAUUGCCUGUUUCCAUCCUUUUGGUGGAGUGGUGAAGGGUAACUUGUGGGACUUGUUAGCUUAUGCGUUUGAAGGGGUAGAAUAAAAGAAAGAAAGGAUUAUCUCCUGACUCCUAUCCCUUGAGGGAACUGAACCCUUAACUCAAAGGUGGCUUAACCCUGGUAUUUAGAAAGCCAUUAUUUUGAAAGCAUUGCUCUAACUGAGGUUAACGUUUGCAUGUACAUUGCAUUGUCUUGAACAUGAAAGAUUAAUGUAGGUUAAAGUUGGAGCUUCUUAAUGAUAGAAUCUGUGUUCCUGGCUUUUAAAAUAAGUCCUCGUCAGUGAUGGUGUUAAGGUACCAAAACAGGAGAAACAAACAAACUACGUCCAUGAUCCAAGAUGGCCUUUAUUUGCAUGCAAAAGAACACAGGGGAAUCAUUCACCAAGCUGUGCCCCUGACCAAAACAGGGAGCAAAGCUUUUAUAGCAUUUUGACAUUCCAACAAACAGAGGAUAAUUUCGAUUCUAUAACCAGACUUUCCUGGGGAGUCAAGGACCUUGGGCAUCACUGACUCCCUUUUGCAUCCCAUCCUCUCCUGUGAAGGCCUCCUUCCAAACUAUGCAUUGAUAUCAAAGCUUGCUUAUCAUUAUUCUUAUUAUGUGCUGAGGCAGAGAGAAGGAAAAUGGGGAGAGGAGAGAAAGGAGGAGAGGGGGAGUGAACUCAGCCAAAGGAAGAGCUGUGAGAGAGAGGGGGAGGUUUAUCAAACCCUCACAAUGGUAAACUCAUUCUUCCUCUUGUUUAAUUUACAGAGAAAAUUGAGGGUGUAAAAAGCACAGAAGCAAGUGUAUCAGCCAGCCAGGUUCAGCCACAAGGUGCUGGUAUACAACUGGUGUCCACAGGUCAGCUCAAUUACACAAUGUACUUUACUGUGGAAUGUAACAUCUAUAUAUUAAUAUUUACGGCCCAUAGUGCUUUUGGGAAUGCUGGGUUUUUUAAAUUUGAAAAACCUGUCUUGUAAAUUAAUUCUAAUGCAGUUUUGAAAAAGAAAAAAAAAAGCAACUUUCAUGCUUGUAUGGCACACCACCCAAAAAAAAGAAAAAAAAAGGCUCAUAAAGUGGCACUUGUACAGAAUAAAAUUGAGCAUGCCUUUUUAAAAA